CUUUAGACAUGUUCACGAGCUCAGAAACGUUUCCUCCAGACAGCUCCGGGAAACACGCGUCAACCUGCGCCAACCUGCGCUCCAGAACGAGUGAGGACGAACGAUCCGGAGACCCGGCGGCGCUGACCCGGGUAGCAUGCUCCGUCUCCAUGGCGACGGCCUCUGGAGGCGGACGGCGAGCGUCGGAGGGGAAGAUCCAGCUUCAUCCGAACACGCUGCCGUUCAUCGAUUUGGCUACCCCAUGCUGCUGGCCGCAAAUCCGGUCCAUGUCAUUAAUAAAGGAUUAAUGGAGGAUAAAUAAAAGCUUCUCUUCACCAUUCACCCACUGACGACCGUGCCAGCUGCCUUCUGCCACGAGGUGACGUCAUCCUGGGGCCAGAGCCCCACGUGGGGGAGAAGAGCCCAGGAGCAGCUGAGAGGGUCCUGCAUUCAGCCGCUGUCCCAUGAGGCAGGUUGAACCCAGAGGGUCACCUGAACAGAACCUCAGGACAUUCAUGGUGGGAAGUGGUUUAGGAUCAGAUAUCGUCAGGAGAACCACCCCAAGUAACAAACGGCUUCAAUAUGCACUCAAUCAAACAUCUCAUCUGGGCUGUGUGUCGUUCAAUGAGUAAUAUAAGAACUCCACUUUGAGGAGACGGGAUGGCAGUUGCUGGUGAACUCAAGUGGAACUAUGAACCAGGAUGUUUGUUUUGUUGAAUACUUUGAACCGAGUGGCAAAUAAAUGUUGUCUUGGCUCACUGCUAGAAAUCUACGAGGAGUAGGCUAUUUCAUUUGAACUUCAUUGGAUCAGAUUAGAUAAUCCUUUCUUUGUGCCACAGUGGGGACAUCUCAGGAUCACAGCAGCGCUGCACAUCAGAGCAUUAAUAGAAAAUAAAUAUAUAACACAAAACACAAUACUCAAUACUAAUACUAAAUAUACUGAGGAAAAAUAAAGUGCUGCAUUAUCUGUGCAUCUGGAUC
This is a long non-coding RNA of Pseudoliparis swirei, 960 nucleotides long. RefSeq lists it as uncharacterized. Lineage: Eukaryota; Metazoa; Chordata; Actinopteri; Perciformes; Liparidae. The transcript has 3 exons. The record is from RefSeq and is a predicted model, not a curated record.